This is a small nuclear RNA of Pongo pygmaeus (Bornean orangutan), 107 nucleotides long. The record is from RefSeq and is a predicted model, not a curated record. NCBI's taxonomy places the organism in Eukaryota, Metazoa, Chordata, Mammalia, Primates, Hominidae.
GUGCUCAUUUCAGCAGCACAUAUGCUAAAAUUGGAACGAUACAGAGAAGAUUAGCAUGGCCCCUGUGCAAGGAUGACAUGCAAAUUCAUGAAGCAUUCCAUAUUUUU